ACGAGGGGGGCAAGCGUUGUCCGGAAUUAUUGGGCGUAAAGAGCCCGUAGGCGGUGUGUCGCGUCGGCCGUGGAAACCUGCAGCUUAACUGUGGGCUUGCGGUCGAUACGGGCAUCACUGGAGUUCGGCAGGGGAGACUGGAAUUCCUGGUGUAGCGGUGAAAUGCGCAGAUAUCAGGAGGAACACCGGUGGCGAAGGCGGGUCUCUGGGCCGAUACUGACGCUGAGGAGCGAAAGCGUGGGGAGCGAACAGGA
Molecule: ribosomal RNA, 254 nt
Filed under: uncultured prokaryote
Description: partial 16S ribosomal RNA
Rfam family: Bacterial small subunit ribosomal RNA
Source: RNAcentral